Molecule: ribosomal RNA, 358 nt
Filed under: Lacunicambarus thomai
Lineage: Eukaryota; Metazoa; Arthropoda; Malacostraca; Decapoda; Cambaridae
Description: partial large subunit ribosomal RNA
Rfam family: Bacterial large subunit ribosomal RNA (bases 243-358)
Source: RNAcentral
UCUGUCUUAAUUAAAGAUAUUGAAUUUAACUUUUAAGUGAAAAGGCUUAAAUGAUCUGGAGGGACGAUAAGACCCUAUAAAACUUUAUAUUUGAAAGUAGAAAUUAGUUUUGUUUUAAGGUUAUUAUUUUAUAAUAUUUGGUUGGGGUGACAAGGAUAGAAGAAAGAGUAUCUGUUUUUUUUUUWAACAAUAAUAYUUGAUUGAAUGAUCCUAAAAGGGAUUUAAGAUUAAGUUACUUUAGGGAUAACAGCGUAAUUUUCUUUAAGAGUUCUUAUCGACAGGAAAGUUUGCGACCUCGAUGUUGAAUUAAAGGUUCUUUAUAGAUGUAGAAACUAUAAUAGAAGGUCUGUUCGACCUU